This 1044-nucleotide long non-coding RNA is filed under the name Canis lupus familiaris (dog). Its description in RNAcentral is "lncRNA (ENSCAFG00030021728.1)". The record is from RNAcentral. Lineage: Eukaryota; Metazoa; Chordata; Mammalia; Carnivora; Canidae.
AUGGCCGCCCCGGGUCGCCCCCCCCCCCCCCGCCCCGGUGCCCCUCUCCUGCCCGCGGGGGGGGGGGGCAGCCCUGCGCGCCCCGCUCCCCGGCUCCGCGGUCUCCCCGCCUCCCCGCGCCCCGAGCGCCGCACCCCGCGCACCCGCGUCCCCCGCGGGCUCGGAGCCCUCCGCACCCCGCUCGCCCGCUGUCCGCCCCGCUCCCCGCCGGGUUCGAGUCCCCAGCUGCGCCCGGGCAGGCGGGAGGGGGCCCGGGGAGGGGGGAGCCCGGGGAGGGGGGCCCCGGGGAGGGGUCCGGGGGUCCGUGCGCCCCGGCGGCCGGGGGAGCGGGGCGCGCGUCCCCGCCCGCAGCUCGCGCCCCCCGCGCCCCCGCGCAGCCCUGCCCGCCGCCGCCCGGCAGCCCUCCCGGGCCCGCCCCGGGCCUGCGCCGCGCGCCCCGCCGAGCCCCCCGCGGGCCAGGGCGGCCCGGGUGCAGCGCGGCCUCGGGGUACUCACCGCCCGCGCGGCGCGGGGCUGCGGCCUCACCGGGCUGCCGGCCCCGAUGCCCGCCCCCGCCGGUGUCCUCGGCGCCCCCCGAGCGGCCGUCCGUCCGGAGCCGCGGCCGGGGGGCCCAGCAUCCCGGCCCCCGCGCCGCCCGCUGCCAGGCCGGGGGAGCGCCCGCGAGCCUGGGUGCGUCCCGGGGCGCGCGAGCCUAACCCGGGCUUCCUUCCAAUCCGUGCAGUUUCAAAUCUCCACGCUCGUUCAUUCCUAUACCGGCUAAUUCUGGUUUGGCAGGAAAAAAUUGCAGUCAUCUCACGUGCACACUCUUGUGGCCGGUUGAAGUUUAGGGCUUUGGCUCAGGCGGAGGCUCUGCACGUUUCUAGACCCGAGUGGAGGCUCCGAAACCUCACCCCACGCGCGCCCGGGGGCGGGGGCGGGCAGCGUCUGCCCUUUGACCGAGAGCAGCGGGGGAGUGAGGAGCAAACCCGGGAAAUACGGCCCUUUGCACAAGGACCAGCAGGUGGGCAGGCCCCCGGUCUCCUUGGCCCGAGAGGCCUGAAGAUC